AUAGGUGGCUUCCCCUAGUAACUGCGAGUGAAGAGGUUUGAGCCCAACUUCGAAAUCUGGCGCUUCGGCGUUGGAGUUGUGAUUUAGGGAGGCUUUUCCCGUGCUGGGCAGGGUUACGAGACGGGGGUGAAGGACCAUAAGGGGCAAUAAUCCCGUACCCGGCAUGGAGCGCCGGAAUGUUUGUGAUACCCUUUCUAAGAGUCGAGUUGGUUGGAAAUGCAGCUCAAUAUUGGCGAGAGAUGCAAUCUAAAGGCUAAAUAUUGGGGGAGAGACCAAUAGCGAACAAGUACAGAGAUGAAAAGAUGCAAAAGAACUGUGAAAAGAGAGGUAAACAGUACGUGAAUUUUUUUUAAAGGGAAGCGGUAGGAGGUCAGAGCAUGCCGUCUGGCAUUCAGCCUUGCUUUUUGUAUUGGUGUUGUUCCCAGUUGGCAGGCAAACGUCGUUUUUGCACACUUGCUGGAAGACUGGGGACGGAAUGUGGCACCCCUCGGGUGUGGUUAUAGCCUCCUACUGAUACAGCGACCGAGACCGAGGACAGCAGCGUACUCGCAAGAGCGGGCCUUCGGCACCUUUACGCUUAGGGCGUUGGCAUAAUGGCCCUCUACCACCCGUCUUGAAACGGACCCAGCGCGAAAAACGCUUCUCUAAUUACACUCGGACGCCGAAGACGCCAGAUUUUAAUUUGAGCUCAUCCCGCUCACUCGCAGUUACUAGGGGAAACCGUUGUUAGUUACGUUUCCUCCGGUUAUGACU
This 753-nucleotide ribosomal RNA is filed under the name Pseudozyma sp. Its description in RNAcentral is "LSU rRNA". The stretch from base 1 to 622 matches the Rfam family "Eukaryotic large subunit ribosomal RNA", at positions 66 to 664 of the family's 3401-position model. Lineage: Eukaryota; Fungi; Basidiomycota; Ustilaginomycetes; Ustilaginales; Ustilaginaceae. The record is from RNAcentral.